GGGGAUGUGGCUCAGUGGUGGAGUGCUUGUCUACCAUACAUGAGACCCUGUUUUCCAUUCCCA
Molecule: non-coding RNA, 63 nt
Organism: Fukomys damarensis (Damara mole-rat)
Lineage: Eukaryota; Metazoa; Chordata; Mammalia; Rodentia; Bathyergidae
Source: Rfam